This 313-nucleotide ribosomal RNA is filed under the name uncultured bacterium. Its description in RNAcentral is "bacterial SSU rRNA". It matches the Rfam family "Bacterial small subunit ribosomal RNA", at positions 28 to 334 of the family's 1533-position model. The record is from RNAcentral.
GAUGAACGCUAGCGGCAGGCCUAACACAUGCAAGUCGAGGGGCAGCGGGAGUAGCUUGCUACUUGCCGGCGAUCGGCGCACGGGUGCGCAACGCGUAUGGAACCUGCCCUUUACAGGGGAAUAGCCCAGAGAAAUUUGGAUUAAUGCCCCGUGGUACCGUUAUGCAGCAUUGCAUUUCGGUUAAAGCCCUCGGGCGGUAAGGGAUGGCCAUGCGUAGCAUUAGCUUGUUGGUGGGGUAACGGCCCACCAAGGCUGCGAUGCUUAGGGGCCCUGAGAGGGGGAUCCCCCACACUGGUACUGAGACACGGACCAG